CAAACGGCUCUUUUUAGAGCCACUAAAUGUUCUAAAAGAAUACAAA
This 46-nucleotide non-coding RNA is filed under the name Paramuricea clavata. It matches the Rfam family "Histone 3' UTR stem-loop". Rfam says of the family: The mRNAs of metazoan histone genes lack a poly-A tail. 3' end processing occurs at a site between a highly conserved stem-loop (modelled by this family) and a purine rich region around 20 nts downstream (the histone downstream element, or HDE). The stem-loop is bound by a 31 kDa stem-loop binding protein (SLBP - also termed the histone hairpin binding protein, or HBP). Lineage: Eukaryota; Metazoa; Cnidaria; Anthozoa; Malacalcyonacea; Plexauridae. The record is from RNAcentral.